This 423-nucleotide long non-coding RNA is filed under the name Triticum aestivum (bread wheat). RNAcentral describes it as "long non-coding RNA (TAES_LNC022695)". The record is from RNAcentral. Lineage: Eukaryota; Viridiplantae; Streptophyta; Magnoliopsida; Poales; Poaceae.
GGAACUGAAGUAUUCUUGAAGAGCCUGAAAAAUCACAACUAGGACGUAGCUCUUGGUACAAUUGUAAGUUGUGAUCCUAAAUUUAAACUUGAUGGUGCUGGAAUUAGAAAUGGAUUCUGGGCAGUGCAUGUCGAUAUGGCACUUGUGAAAACUGAAAAAUUGGUACGGAGUUGAAAAAACUGCAAUACUCUCGGUAAUGCAUAAAAAACUAAUAUCUUGCCUCUAUUACUACUUGCAUCAUGGCAAUCUUUGUGUAUUAACAACUCAUUUUGUUAUCUUGUUUGUAGAUUCAAAAGAAAAUGGAUGACUAUAUGGUGUGUGGAAAGUAUAUUGCAAUGAUGAUGUUGAUGUUUCGGUUCAUGAUGAUGAUGAUGAUGGAUGCUUUCAGUUUUAGUUAAGUUGUAGGGAUGGCGUAUAUUGGAU